ACGUACACUCCUGCGGGAGGCAGCAGUGGGGAAUAUUGGACAAUGGGCGCAAGCCUGAUCCAGCCAUGCCGCGUGAGUGAUGAAGGCCCUAGGGUUGUAAAGCUCUUUCACCGGUGAAGAUAAUGACGGUAACCUGAGAAGAAGCCCCGGCUAACUUCGUGCCAGCAGCCGCGGUAAUACGAAGGGGGCUAGCGUUGUUCGGAUUUACUGGGCGUAAAGCGCACGUAGGCGGACUAUUAAGUCAGGGGUGAAAUCCCGGGGCUCAACCCCGGAACUGCCUUUGAUACUGGUAGUCUUGAGUUCGAGAGAGGUGAGUGGAAUUCCGAGUGUAGAGGUGAAAUUCGUAGAUAUUCGGAGGAACACCAGUGGCGAAGGCGGCUCACUGGCUCGAUACUGACGCUGAGGUGCGAAAGCGUGGGGAGCAAACAGGAUUAGAAACCCGAGUAGUCCCAUGA
Molecule: ribosomal RNA, 455 nt
Filed under: uncultured organism
Description: partial 16S ribosomal RNA
Rfam family: Bacterial small subunit ribosomal RNA
Source: RNAcentral